GGCGUCCACCUGAGAGGUUCCAGAACUGAGUUUUGAUGGUUCAGUUGGGUGAGAAGGAAGAAGGGAACGAGGCAGCAGGUGAAGAGCCUGUUCCAGUCAGACUGACUUCUUUCCACACCCAGCUCCAGAGCCAACUUAUAGCAACAGUUUUGUAGAAAGGAACAUCCACUGCCAGCUCCUGCUCAUGGAAAAGGGACAUAGUUCAGGAGCAGAGCAUCUGCUUCACAUUCAGAACGUCCCAGUUCAGUUCCCCAGCAUCUCCAGGGCAUGAAAGGAGAGGUGAACCAUGGUGGGAGUUUGUAGUGGCAUCCGAUUGUCCCAUUCUUCAGCUUUCCUGAUCAAGUAUCUCAAGAAAAUUCCUGUGCUGGCCUGGUCUUCAAUUCAGUUUCUGUACUCAAACCAUGUCACUGUAAGACUAUUUGAAUAUGAGGAAAUAAUAGGUGGUAUAAUCAUUCCUGGACCCACAACCCAGUUUGUGGACUAGCAAAGUCGAAAAAAGGACAACAAAGCCAGCAUUUAAAUAUGUAUUUAUUGGUUGGCCACACUACAACAGAAGGUCUCCAGGUAGCUCCAAGGUAAAAAGAAGAACAAGAAUAAUUCAUACUUAUAAAUAAAUAAGAUACAGGAAAUACUAUUAAUGCAAUACAAAUAUAGGAUCAAAAAGUUCACUUUCAAAACAGAGCAGAGGAAGACAACUCAGCAGCCAUAGUAAAAGUGAACUCAUUAUGGGCAUGAUUUCAGGUGUGGUGAUUUGGAUAUAUGGGUAGCAAAAGUAAGACUCUUGUAGCCAUACCCUCCAACACUUCUCUGGUGAAAACAGGUACAUUCCAUUCUAUAUCUGUCAACCAUUUCUCCGAUGAAAAUAGGGACGAACUAAGGAAAAGUGGGAAAUUCCGGGAUCAAAUCAUCAGAAACCAGGAUGGCUUCUGUAAAUCCUGGACCGUCCCUGGAAAAGAGGGACACUUGGAGGGGCUGUUUUGGGGGCUGUGCAUCAUAAGAAGCUAUGUUUAUUCCAAGAAAAAAUGGUAUCCUUGCACCAAAAGUUUCAGGAACUCCAGAACUCAAGUUUGUUAACUAGAGUUAUAGUUAAUGACAGAGCACCAUCUUGUGGACAAUGUGCUGUUCAUAAUUUUUGCAAAGCAAUUUCGGCAUUUUUUGGAUAAAAACAACUUGACAUGAAAUAACUGUGGUCACGUAUUACAUGCUUUUCUUUAAACACUUAUAGCAAGUAAACAACUUUAAACAGUUUCUUAUGGAAAGCAUGACUGACACUUGAUUACAUCUGUGUGUCAUAAUUAAGAAUAAUCAAGUAAUCUACAAAGACAUGAGCAUUUCUAUAGCAGGCCAAGAACAAGUUAUCAUUCAGGCCCUGUUGGAGCCAGGCUUCUAGGGGCCAGUGAUAUCUGCCUACAAACCAUCAGCAACUGAUCGAGGCAGGUACAAGUACACACACUGUGCUGUGUAGAUUCCAGAGUUAACAGCUAAUUUUGGGGAACUGGUAAUACUACUCUUGGGAUCUUUAUUGGAGACAGUUCACCCACCCGCACUGAUAGGCUUGGUUUGGUCAUGAACACCUUCCCUACUUUGGGGGAGGUUAGCACUGACCAAUAAAAAACCACCUUGUAGCAUGUUUACCCUAG
This is a long non-coding RNA of Podarcis muralis (Common wall lizard), 1640 nucleotides long. RefSeq lists it as uncharacterized. The record is from RefSeq and is a predicted model, not a curated record. Lineage: Eukaryota; Metazoa; Chordata; Lepidosauria; Squamata; Lacertidae.